Molecule: small nucleolar RNA, 121 nt
Organism: Jaculus jaculus (lesser Egyptian jerboa)
Lineage: Eukaryota; Metazoa; Chordata; Mammalia; Rodentia; Dipodidae
Product: small nucleolar RNA SNORA57
Exons: 1
Source: RefSeq, a predicted model, not a curated record
CUUCUUUUUUUUGUUUUCCUGUACAGAGGUAGAAGGAAAGGACUUCUUCUCCCUUGGUGGCAUAUCAUGGUUAUUGGUAGAUUUCCAUCUACCCAUUGUACCUUCAAGUUCCAGGACACUG